UCGACUAGCAUGCGAGUCGAGAGGUGUAAGACCUCGGCGUACUGCUCAGUAACACGUGGAUAAUCUACCCUGAGGAGGGAGAUAACCCCGGGAAACUGGGGAUAAUACCCCAUAGGUUAUGGAGGCUGGAAUGCACUAUAACCGAAAGCUCCGGCGCCUCAGGAUGAGUCUGCGGCCGAUUAGGUUGUUGUUGGGGUAACGGCCCAACAAGCCGAUAAUCGGUACGGGUUGUGGGAGCAAGAGCCCGGAGAUGGAUUCUGAGACAUGAAUCCAGGCCCUACGGGGCGCAGCAGGCGCGAAANCUUUACAAUGCGAGCAAUCGUGAUAAGGGAACCCCGAGUGCCUGUAUACGCAGGCUGUUCAGAUGUCCAAAAAACAUCUGGAGA
RNAcentral lists this ribosomal RNA (386 nucleotides) under uncultured methanogenic archaeon. RNAcentral describes it as "bacterial SSU rRNA". It matches the Rfam family "Archaeal small subunit ribosomal RNA", at positions 40 to 436 of the family's 1478-position model. The record is from RNAcentral. Lineage: Archaea; Methanobacteriati; Methanobacteriota.